Pelobates cultripes (western spadefoot toad) is the source of this 345-nucleotide non-coding RNA. NCBI's taxonomy places the organism in Eukaryota, Metazoa, Chordata, Amphibia, Anura, Pelobatidae. The record is from the annotation of a GenBank genome assembly.
GUUCCCCUCUCAGUCCCUAUCCUACCCCACAAACCCUCUCUUUUACACUACACACAAACACAAUGCAUUCCCCCCCCCACACACACACAGAAACAUACAAUGCAUUCCUACUCACACACAGACACACCCGAAACAGACCUUGAGCUGUGUAAGGGGCCCUAAAAAAUGGAGCUGCUUCCUGUUCGUUAAUUGUUGUGAGCACUGUUAAAAACAGUCUCCAGAGAGCCUCUUCUACACCAGACCUGUGGAGCCAGACUGAGCCCAUCAUCAGCCUCUUGUCCUCAUCUGGUGGUAAGUAGGCAAUCCAAUAUAUUAUUAGUGGCACUAAUCUCACAUUAAAUGGAU